CUUAUCCCAAAGAAUACGGAGAUAAAUCAUAUAAAAUAGAGUUGAAUGAUGUAUCAAACUGAUUGGCAUCCGGGCUGAUAUUGUUUUCCUCUUGAAAGACGUACUCCACAAGAUUGAGACUGUCAACAAGUUUGUGAUAAAUGUCCACCCAUCAAGAUUUAACAACACAUUUCGUCUAAUCUAUAUCUAUAUUACUAUAUGAUAGAUCUCCCAUAUACAACAAUGUAAUUUUCUUUAAAAUUUUAAGAUAGGAUAUCAAAAGCCAUGUUAAAAACCGUAAUUUUUGACAAUUCUUUUCCCUUUCUACCCUCCUCUCCCUUCAACAUCACAGACAGUCGAUUACACAAUCCCUCUCUUCAUGAAUUAGCCAUUAAUAUCAUUAAUCUUCCGGUCGACGUUCCCAAUCCCCCGACCGAUGAAUCACAAUCGUUCCCGUUUGCCCUUCCCGCCUUCCCAUUAAAGAGAGGUAAACGGGAGUGAGAGAUAUAGGGAUCCACUUUCCACAAAACCCUAGCAACCAGAUCCCCCAUCCCAAAACCUGCAAUCGCUACAACAUAACCGAAGCUACUUUCUGUCCAUAAAUCUCAAUCUGAGAAAAAAAGCUUGAAAUUCAUUCAUGGCGUUAAUCAGGUUCACACAGUCCUUUAGACAUGUUGAAUUUAUUUGUUAGUGAAAUUGACUGAUUGGGAAGUUGAUUUUGGAAGAACUUGAACCCUAAUUUUGAUAAUUUUCAUUUGUAUCUUUGAGAUUGUUUAGUUAUUCUUUAACAAUUGAUUGAUCAGUGUGCGUAUGCUGAAUUGAUCUAACCAUCCGACCCAUGAUAAGAAGUACCUACGCAAUGGGAAGAGAUGCUUUAUUUAUAUACGGUUCCACAGAGUAAAUUUGAGAUCCACCUACGAGAAUUCAGAAACAGGCGCAAAGACGCGGUCGAACUCAGCUGGAAAGGCCAACAUAGAGGUUGCAGGCAGUGGCGAAGCUUGAGAUUUCCGACCGGGGGGUCGAAAACGAAUAUACCCCAAAAUUUCUAUAAAACGGGGGGUCAAAAACGUAUAUACCCAAAAAUUUCUAUACGAAAACUACAUACUCUCCACUACUGAGCGAAAAGUUCGGGGGGUCGGCCGCCCCCUCCCGCCCCCACUAUCCUUCGCCCAUGGUUGCAGGUCACCAUUACACCAGGAACGGUCGUGGCCCCAUCAUUUGCAGUCACACCACCGGUAAUCGCAGUUCAUUACCCACUUCAAUAAUAUGUACACAAAACAUAACUUUUAUAUUUCUGUUCUUGAAAUUAUAUUUGUUAACAUGAAAUUUGAGUCACACCACCGGUGAUCGCAAUCAAGUUGCCUAAGCCGAGGAGCUACGCCGCCGCCACUCCAUCUGUUAGUCCAAACUGGUUUUAUCGUGGGUAACUCAAUUCAAAACAUUAGACUCAAAAAAUAUACGCCAAAAUUGAGGAAGAAGCAAAAAACGGUUGGUUAGUUCGAUAUAUGCGUGUGUUUUUAUGUUGAAAUUUUGGAUCAAAAGAAGUUGAUUUUGAAUCUGUUUGUUUUGUGAUGUAGAUCUUCUAUAUAUAAGUGCUUAUCUGAUUCUCGCUGCUCUCUGCUUAAAGUUGAUUCUGUAUUGGAUGGGCAAUUAUAUUGGUGUACCUUACUCAUUGGAUGUAUUGCAGGUGCAACUUGGUACACAUUCAUUCACUUCACCAUUAGACAUGUUGGAAGGGUGUGUUUCCCCUCUUGUUGAUGGACUGUUCCAAGGAUACAAUGCUAACGUUCUAGCCUAUGGCCAGAUUCGGGCAAGACAUAUAUCAUGGGUACUGGAUUCAAAGAUGGUUGCCAAACAUGGCUUAUCCCUCAAGCAAUGAAUGCAUUGUUCAACAAGACUGAAACUUUACAGCAUCAACUAGAGUUCCAAUUGCAUGUUUCUUUCAUUGAGAGGACGUACGGGACUUGUUGAAUAACAAAUGGGUAGAAUGGGCAAACACCAACUGGAAUGGAGUGUAUACUAAACCCAGGGUUAGUGACGGUUAUAAUCCACGAGCCAGCAAGUACAAGGAGAUAAUCCUGACACACCCUCAUGUUUAUUGCUUUAGUAUCAUCAUUUACCAUAAAUGUAUGUGAUCAUUUCUCUCUCUCUCUCUUUUUUUUUUUUUUACUUUACGAACAUUCAGUUUGUUUUUGAGUUGUCGUUGUAACGUGUGUAAAACGAUCCACGUCACAAGUAUUCUUGUAUUCUUUAUUUGAUAUAUCAGUUAAAUAAAAAAUUUGGGAUGAAUUUUACGUCUUAAA
Long non-coding RNA from Helianthus annuus (common sunflower), 2282 nucleotides. RefSeq lists it as uncharacterized. The record is from RefSeq and is a predicted model, not a curated record. Lineage: Eukaryota; Viridiplantae; Streptophyta; Magnoliopsida; Asterales; Asteraceae. The transcript has 5 exons.